This 269-nucleotide long non-coding RNA is filed under the name Malus domestica (apple). Its description in RNAcentral is "long non-coding RNA (MDOM_LNC013787)". The record is from RNAcentral. Lineage: Eukaryota; Viridiplantae; Streptophyta; Magnoliopsida; Rosales; Rosaceae.
UCUUUUCUUAGGGUCUCUUCCAAAGUUUUCCUAGGUCUUCCUCUACCCCUUUGGCCCUGAACCUCUAUCCCGUAGUCACAUCUUUUAACCGGAGCGUCAGGAGGCCUUCUUUGCACAUGUCCAAACCCAUUUUGUGUACGUGUUGAUGCUUCACCGCCCAACAUUCUGUGCCAUACAGCAUCGCCGACCUUAUUGCCGUCCUAUAAAAUUUUCCCUUGAGCUUCAGUGGCCUACGACGGUCACACAACACGCCGGAUACACUCUUCCAC